UGACUGUGUGUGUGUGUGUGUGUAUGUGUGUGUGAGCUCCCCAGCUGCCAGGCCGCACAGGUUCUCCCCUCCAAACUCGCUUCCUGCUCCCCAGGUCUUGCUUACAGGCCUUUCAGACGGACUGCAGGCUGGUUUCGGGGAGCGUGCGGCCGCCCCCCUCCCCUGCCUGAAGCUCUUCUUCUCUGUGCUCCCCUCAGACCGAGUGCUUCAACCACAUCCGGUUCCUGCAGAGGUUCAACGAGACCCACCUGUACGCCUGUGGCACCAAUGCCUUCCGGCCACUCUGCGUCUACAUCGACUCCGAACGGUUCACCUUCACUUCGCGCUUCGAGGAAGGUCGCGAGAAGUGUCCUUACGACCCAGCUAAAGGACACACCGGCCUCUUCGUGGAUGGCGAGAUGUACACGGCCACGCAGUAUGAUUUCCGCAGCUCCCCCGACAUCCGUCGAAACUUUCCCAACCCUGUGGUGAAGACUGAAGAAGGUCCCAUCCGCUGGCUGCUCGGUGAGGCCUGCUGGGGGGCAGGGGGGG
Non-coding RNA from Paramormyrops kingsleyae, 531 nucleotides. Lineage: Eukaryota; Metazoa; Chordata; Actinopteri; Osteoglossiformes; Mormyridae. The record is from RefSeq and is a predicted model, not a curated record.